ACCAAUCCUUUUAUUUUUCCAGAUUGCUCCUGCCUCCACGCCGGAAACUAAAUGUUUCCAGAAAAUGUUAAAAAAAAUUUCCUCCACGCGUCCCAGAAGAUACACUAUGGCGGUCACUGGAGGACCAACAAAUAGAACAACCGGAGCUGUUGUUAUUGCUGCUUCAAUGACGGCCGGAACUACGAGAAUUACGAUUAAAGAAAUUGAACCAUGUAGAUUCAAUAACAUAAUCAUUUUUAAAGAAAAACAAGCACCAAUUGCCGAUUCCGUCAUUUUCGCGGUCAAUCUUAACCCGUGUUGAUUUUGAUCGUUGGGAGAAAAAGUUAAUUAUUAAUUUAACACUACAACUUUUUAUAAUUACUAGAUCCAUUAAAUAAAAUACAAUUUAUAUCUUAUGUGCCAAAUUUUGGACGACUCAGCGGUUGUAAAACACAUAGAUUUAAAAAAUUGGACCAUUUAGAUUCAAUAAAUUAAUCAUAUUUAAAGAAAAACAAGCACCAAUUGCCGAUUCCGUCUGUUUUCGGUCAAUCUUAACGAGUGUCGAUUUUGAUCGUUGUGGGAAAAAGUUAAUUAUUAAUUU
This 580-nucleotide long non-coding RNA is filed under the name Zostera marina. RNAcentral describes it as "long non-coding RNA (ZMAR_LNC001530)". Lineage: Eukaryota; Viridiplantae; Streptophyta; Magnoliopsida; Alismatales; Zosteraceae. The record is from RNAcentral.